Molecule: long non-coding RNA, 1119 nt
Organism: Cyprinus carpio carpio
Lineage: Eukaryota; Metazoa; Chordata; Actinopteri; Cypriniformes; Cyprinidae
Source: Ensembl
UGUGAGGUAAUGCAGGAUUGGUUGCUCAAGUCUCCUGUCCUAUCUUCCUCAGUCAAGAAAAUCAAUUCUCUUGAAGACCCUCCUUAAUCCCGUUUUUCGCUGGCCACAAAGGCCACUUGUGUGCGACCCCGCUGGACUAUGGACUGGGAUGAUGUGGAUGUCUGCUCGGAUUCCAGCUCUUUCAGUCAGUUUGCUGAGGAGUGACAUACUGCAUACCUCAUUAUGGCACAUAAUUUCUGGGGGUCUAUGCCGAAACAGCAAGUGUCUCAGUAACCCUGUCAUCCCGUGAAAGUGCAGGUAUGAUGUUGAGAUCCAGCUUUGACACAUGGGACAGUUGAAGGCCUCACGCAGAAUUCAUAAAACAUUGCAAACAUCUGAUGCUUGAGGAGGCAAGGCACAAUAUUAAAGGGUGACGCUGUCAACAGUGACGUGGUGGGGUUCCUGCAGCAUGCAGCCGUGGAUGUGAUUCACGAGUAAAUAAAUAAAAGAUAAGGACCUGAGCUUCAGAGCCAUUAAAGCUGUGACAUUAUAUAAGCAUAGAGUCUUUCUUUUUCUUUAUUUAAUGGAUCAGCAUGUGCUCGACCCCUAACCAAAAUGCAUUUUGUGUUUUGCAAGUCAUGUGAGCUGUUGCAAUCUGAAUUAUUUUUUCUUUUGUAAAAGGGAAGAUCAUAUACAGAAUACUGUAAUUAAUAAUAUUACUUACAGAAAUGCUUGCUGUAGUAACCUCUCAUACAAUGUUUAAAACAAAAGAUAUGUUUAAAUCAACAUUUUGAGUCAAAAUUAAAGGAAAAACCAUAAGUUCACUUAGGACUGAUCAUUAGCUAAGGAUCUGGAAAUCAUGAAAAGGUAAAUGGCAGCUUAUGUGUCCCAGAUGAGAAGGAGGGCAAACGGUAAUCAUAAUUAGGCUUCCAGAAAUCAGUGAUGACACAGAUGUCUUCCCCAUUAUGAAUAUUCUGGUCAUUAGUGAAGAGCAGAAGGCAGCUGUUAGAGGUUUAUGGCACCAAGCCUCACUCACAGAGAAAGCAGUCUGUCUGGAGCCCGGAAGCAAUGUGAAGAUUAUUAGUCAUCAACGUGUGUAUCACAGCUCAAGUAUGUGAGAUAAAGCUCUUAAGAUGUUAG